This 207-nucleotide ribosomal RNA is filed under the name uncultured bacterium. RNAcentral describes it as "partial 16S ribosomal RNA". It matches the Rfam family "Bacterial small subunit ribosomal RNA", at positions 568 to 774 of the family's 1533-position model. The record is from RNAcentral.
UGCGUAGGUGGCGCUGUAAGUGGGGUGUGAAAUCCCGGGGCUUAACUCCGGAACUGCAUUUCAUACUGCGGUGCUUGAGGACUGGAGAGGAGACUGGAAUUUACGGUGUAGCAGUGAAAUGCGUAGAGAUCGUAAGGAAGACCAGUGGCGAAGGCGGGUCUCUGGACAGUUCCUGACACUGAGGCACGAAGGCCAGGGAGGCAAACG